UACGUAGGGGGCAAGCGUUGUCCGGAUUUAUUGGGCGUAAAGAGCGUGUAGGCGGCUAGGUAGGUCCGUUGUGAAAACUCGAGGCUCAACCUCGAGACGCCGGUGGAAACCAUCUAGCUAGAGUCCGGAAGAGGAGAGUGGAAUUCCUGGUGUAGCGGUGAAAUGCGCAGAUAUCAGGAAGAACACCCGUGGCGAAGGCGGGUCUCUGGGCCGAUACUGACGCUGAGGAGCGAAAGCGUGGGGAGCGAACAGG
RNAcentral lists this ribosomal RNA (253 nucleotides) under uncultured bacterium. RNAcentral describes it as "partial 16S ribosomal RNA". It matches the Rfam family "Bacterial small subunit ribosomal RNA", at positions 524 to 776 of the family's 1533-position model. The record is from RNAcentral.